This 451-nucleotide ribosomal RNA is filed under the name Holothuria ocellata. Its description in RNAcentral is "partial 16S ribosomal RNA". It matches the Rfam family "Bacterial large subunit ribosomal RNA", at positions 1921 to 2597 of the family's 2925-position model. The record is from RNAcentral. Lineage: Eukaryota; Metazoa; Echinodermata; Holothuroidea; Aspidochirotida; Holothuriidae.
GCGUAAACGGCCGCGGUAUCUUGACCGUGCAAAGGUAGCAUAAUCAUUUGUCUUUUAAAUGGAGACUUGUAUGAAUGGCAAAACCUUUUUCAACUGUCUCCCCCUCUAACCUUACAAAUUUCUAUCUCCGUGAAGAAGCAGAGAUUUAAAAGAAAGACGAGAAGACCCUGUCGAGCUUCAGUUUUAAGGUGAACUACCUUAUCAUCCAAAAACUUUGGUUGGGGCAACCAUGGAGAAAAGAAAUCCUCCAGACCAAGUAGAAGAAAACAUUUCUCUAUUUAUCUUCAGAGAACCAGAAACUGGUAACCGGAAAAAGUUACCGCAGGGAUAACAGCGUCAUCUCCUCUAAGAGUCCUUAUUGACGAGGAGGUUUGCGACCUCUAUGUUGGAUUAGGGCAUCCCUUGGGUGCAGAAGCUCUAAACGGUUAGACUGUUCGUCUAUUAAAGCCCU